This 307-nucleotide ribosomal RNA is filed under the name uncultured bacterium. RNAcentral's name for it is "partial 16S ribosomal RNA". It matches the Rfam family "Bacterial small subunit ribosomal RNA", at positions 506 to 807 of the family's 1533-position model. The record is from RNAcentral.
AGACAGCAGCAGCCGCGGUAAUACGUAGGGCGCAAGCGUUAUCCGGAAUUAUUGGGCGUAAAGAGCUCGUAGGCGGUUUGUCGCGUCUGCCGUUAAAGUCCGGGGCUCAACCCCGGAUCUGCGGUGGGUACGGGCAGACUAGAGUGAUGUAGGGGAGACUGGAAUUCCUGGUGUAGCGGUGAAAUGCGCAGAUAUCAGGAGGAACACCGAUGGCGAAGGCAGGUCUCUGGGCAUUAACUGACGCUGAGGAGCGAAAGCAUGGGGAGCGAACAGGAUUAGAUACCCCAGUAGUCCCUGUCUCUUAUAC